Molecule: non-coding RNA, 72 nt
Organism: Nematostella vectensis (starlet sea anemone)
Lineage: Eukaryota; Metazoa; Cnidaria; Anthozoa; Actiniaria; Edwardsiidae
Source: Rfam
UCCCAUAUGGUCUAGUGGUUAGGAUCCCGCGCUCUCACCGCCGUGGCCCGGGUUAGAUUCCCGGUGUGGGAA